GAUUAUGAUGUCACAGAAAGAUAGAAACCAUCUUGUCUUCAACAGCCUCAUCAACUCCUGGGAAGAUUGCUUAGGGCAAAAUUCCUUCAGGAAGAAGCCAAAGGGAAGAAUCAGUGAAACAAUGUGUGAUUAGCCUGUUUGAUUCAAUACUAUUGACUGUGACUAAAUCAAUGUAGAAACUCAAAGGACUAAUACUACAGUGAAAUUGUACUAUCGCGCUCUUUGUUGGAGAAGAUGAGACUGG
Molecule: long non-coding RNA, 244 nt
Filed under: Canis lupus dingo (dingo)
Lineage: Eukaryota; Metazoa; Chordata; Mammalia; Carnivora; Canidae
Description: lncRNA (ENSCAFG00020008467.1)
Source: RNAcentral